UUCUUGGGUGACGAGCGGCGGACGGGUGAGUAAUGCAUAGGAAUCUGCCCGAUAGUGGGGGAUAACCUGGGGAAACCCAGGCUAAUACCGCAUACGUCCUACGGGAGAAAGGGGGCUCCGGCUCCCGCUAUGGGAUGAGCCUAUGUCGGAUUAGCUAGUUGGUGAGGUAACGGCUCACCAAGGCAACGAUCCGUAGCUGGUCUGAGAGGAUGAUCAGCCACAUCGGGACUGAGACACGGCCCGAACUCCUACGGGAGGCAGCAGUGGGGAAUAUUGGACAAUGGGCGCAAGCCUGAUCCAGCCAUGCCGCGUGUGUGAAGAAGGCCCUCGGGUUGUAAAGCACUUUCAGCGAGGAAGAACGCCUAGCGGUUAAUACCCGCUAGGAAAGACAUCACUCGCAGAAGAAGCACCGGCUAACUCCGUGCCAGCAGCCGCGGUAAUACGGAGGGUGCAAGCGUUAAUCGGAAUUACUGGGCGUAAAGCGCGCGUAGGUGGCUUGAUAAGCCGGUUGUGAAAGCCCCGGGCUCAACCUGGGAACGGCAUCCGGAACUGUCAAGCUAGAGUGCAGGAGAGGAAGGUAGAAUUCCCGGUGUAGCGGUG
Molecule: ribosomal RNA, 600 nt
Filed under: uncultured bacterium
Lineage: Bacteria
Description: bacterial SSU rRNA
Rfam family: Bacterial small subunit ribosomal RNA
Source: RNAcentral